Long non-coding RNA from Loxodonta africana (African savanna elephant), 2139 nucleotides. RefSeq lists it as uncharacterized. The record is from RefSeq and is a predicted model, not a curated record. Lineage: Eukaryota; Metazoa; Chordata; Mammalia; Proboscidea; Elephantidae. The transcript has 2 exons.
CGCUUGGCAGGCGCGGCGGGGAGGAGCGGGGGGCGGAGGCCACGCCCCCCCGGCCCACGGCCCCGCCUCACCUGGGCAGAGCCGGGACCCCAAACCCUGCCCGUGGGCCAGCGCGGACGGCCCCCUCCCUCAUCCUCUGCGUCCGUCCGGGGCGCUGUCCGUCGCUUUAUCUAGCCUGACGCCACCGCAGCCUCGGACCAACUGCUUGGGAGCCUGGGCAGGUCACCGCCUCUCCCUGGGCUUCAGUUUAUCCAGCACCAAGCAAGGAGGGCUGAAUGGAAGCCCCAGGACUCAAGCCCCUGAGGAGCUAGGCGCCCAGGAGGCCUUGAGGAAUUUGGUGACUUCUCUGAAAAUUCAACAGCCAGGAAGAGGGGUGGGCAGAGGAGGAUGCUGGGUGAAGCCUCAAGACCACUUCCUUCAGAGUCUGGCAGCCAACCUGGUUUUUCAUCUGCUUGCUGAACGACUUAUUUCCCCUUCCUGAGCCUCAGCUACUGAUCUAUAAAAAGGGAAUAAGCCUUUCUGCAGUCAGUCACCUUCAGAACAGACAUGCCUAACUGUUCUUUUAAGUGGUUUUGCCACAUAUGUAAAGAGCAUCACACAAUAAAUACACACUCCAUGACUGCAGGAGUUAGGGGAGAGGGAAGGAGGAUGAGGCAAGGCCAAGACACCAGUUGAGACUGAAGGCUCGCUAAAGCUCCCCUCCAUGGGGGCCAUGGGGCAUAGUCCAAGAUAGAGUGGGCAGACAACAAAUCUUUGCCACCAAAGAGACAAAACUUUGCUCCAUGGACCAGAAUUUCCAUGGCAGCCCUCAAGGAGAGGGUAGGGAAAGCCUGGCUGAGGACCCUGUUCCUCAGGGGAGCCUGCUGGUCUUGCUCACUCCUCCCCUUCAAAGAUGGGAAGACCCCAAACAAGAUGCCUCCUGGCUAGGCAGGUCUGAGCAUACACAGGAGCUGGACCAGCUUGUGGUUGCCCCCUGUCCUGGAGUGCUGAGCAGGCCAGUUGCAUCCACACAGGCAACAAGUCUUGAGCACUUACAGUGGGCCCAUCCUGUGCCAAGUACUUUUCCCGUAUUAACCCAUUUAUUCCUGCCCCGAAUUCACAAAUGAGUAAACGGAGGCACUGGCCUUGAAGGACAUGCCCAGAACCUCACAGCAAUGUUGCCCCUGAUUGUCAGGGCUGGGAGGGGGCAGUCUGAGGAGUGGACCAGUUCCUUACCCUGGGGAGUUGGGGCGCCGGGCCAGAGAAGCCCCGCCCCGUGGGCCACCAGGCAGCCAAUGGGCGCUUGGCCCGCAGUGGGGAGAUGUGGCGUCACCGCCUAACUCCUGGGAGUCCAGCCCGGGUCACAUGUGCUAAGCCCACUCACCCGGGGCUGGCAGGGCUGGUAGGGCCGGCCCUGCGGCCAGCUGGGCCUGCUGCAUCUUCCUGGCCUCAAGGCCAGACACCUGGCUGGGACUGCUGCCCGGUGCGCGUCCGCGUCCGGGGCACCCGGGCGGGGCUGGCCUGGGGCGGCCCCUGCCUCCCCCCCACGGCUUCCUGCGGGACUGUGCAGGCACCUCCGGAGGGGGAAGCUCAGCCAAGGGUACCCAGCCCGACCUCAGCUUUGCCAACUGUAAGAUAGGAGUUCGAACGCCCCCUUCCUCCCCUAGGCGACUUAGAGGCAGGGACAUAUCUUCUGUGGGUUCUGAGUCAUUUGGGGUAGCGGCCAGUGCCAACAGGGCCUCCAUUGACCCUCGGUGCCCUGAGCCCAUUGGGGGCGAAGGGGCAGGUAGGUGCUUGGGGGGCUGCCAUUAGGCAGGAGGCCACCGAGACCCCAGCCCAGCCCCACUUUUGGAGCCCCUGCCUGCCCGCAGUUUAGACUUCAUUCCUCCAGUAGCUAAGCUAGACCCUCCCCAGGUGACAGUGGAGGGAAUCAGGCAAGGGGAAGAAACAUAGGCAGGAGAGGGGACAACCCCAUUUCUCCCUCUGUACCAGGGACUGGAGGGCUGUUGGCCUGAUGAUUCUGUGUAAGAUGACUGUAUUCUCAUUCCUGUGUGGCCUCCUCUGCAAGCUGGGCACUCGAGUGACCCCAGCUCUGCACCUCCACACCUGCUCUGCCCAGAAGGCUCAUGGUUGUGGGCACCUUCAGGUCCUCCAGGUCAC